AGCAGCCGCGGUAAUUCCAGCUCCAAUAGCGUAUAUUAAAGUUGUUGCAGUUAAAAAGCUCGUAGUUGAAUUUCGGAAUCAGUAUGUUGGUCGUGCUUCGGUACGUACUGUCAUUACUGGUUUCUACCUUCUGAAGAACCUUGAUGUCAUUAAUUUGGUGUCUUGGGGAAUCAGGACUGUUACUUUGAAAAAUUAGAGUGUUUAAAGCAAGCAUACGCUUGAAUACAUUAGCAUGGAAUAAUGAAAUAGGACGUUUGAUUCUAUUUUGUUGGUUUCUAGGAUCGACGUAAUGAUUAAUAGGGAUAGUUGGGGGCAUUAGUAUUCAAUUGUCAGAGGUGAAAAUUCUUGGAUUUAUUGAAGACUAACUACUGCGAAAGCAUUUGCCAAGGAUGUUUUCAUUAAUCAAGAACGAAAGUUAGGGGAUCGAAGACGAUCAGAUACCGUCGUAGUCUUAACCAUAAACUAUGCCGACUAGGGAUCGGAUGAUGUAUUUUUAAUGA
Molecule: unclassified non-coding RNA, 500 nt
Filed under: uncultured Glomus
Lineage: Eukaryota; Fungi; Glomeromycota; Glomeromycetes; Glomerales; Glomeraceae
Description: SSU rRNA
Rfam family: Eukaryotic small subunit ribosomal RNA
Source: RNAcentral